This 72-nucleotide transfer RNA is filed under the name Bos indicus x Bos taurus (hybrid cattle). It matches the Rfam family "tRNA". From Rfam's summary of the family: Transfer RNA (tRNA) molecules are approximately 80 nucleotides in length. The record is from Rfam by way of RNAcentral. Lineage: Eukaryota; Metazoa; Chordata; Mammalia; Artiodactyla; Bovidae.
UCCCUCAUAGCUAAGUUGGUAAAUCAUUUGCCUGCAAUGCAGGAGACCCAGGUUUGAUUCCUGGGUUGGGAA